GAUGAACGCUGGCGGCGUGCCUAAUACAUGCAAGUCGAGCGAACAGAUGAGGAGCUUGCUCCUCUGACGUUAGCGGCGGACGGGUGAGUAACACGUGGAUAACCUACCUAUAAGACUGGGAUAACUUCGGGAAACCGGAGCUAAUACCGGAUAAUAUAUUGAACCGCAUGGUUCAAUAGUGAAAGAUGGCUUUGCUGUCACUUAUAGAUGGACCUGCGCCGCAUUAGCUAGUUGGUAAGGUAACGGCUUACCAAGGCAACGAUCCGUAGCCGACCUGAACGGGUGAUCGGCCACACUGGAACUGAGACACGGUCCAGACUCCUACGGGAGGCAGCAGUAGGGAAUCUUCCGCAAUGGGCGAAAGCCUGACGGAGCAACGCCGCGUGAGUGAUGAAGGUCUUCGGAUCGUAAAACUCUGUUAUUAGGGAAGAACAAAUGUGUAAGUAACUGUGCACGUCUUGACGGUACCUAAUCAGAAAGCCACGGCUAACUACGUG
RNAcentral lists this ribosomal RNA (497 nucleotides) under uncultured bacterium. RNAcentral's name for it is "partial 16S ribosomal RNA". It matches the Rfam family "Bacterial small subunit ribosomal RNA", at positions 28 to 507 of the family's 1533-position model. The record is from RNAcentral.